GGAAGAUUGGCAGAGUGGCAAUGCAACGGUUUGCUAAACCGUGGCUCCUCACGGGGCUCGGAGGUUCGAUCCCUCCAUCUUCCG
Molecule: transfer RNA, 84 nt
Filed under: Rhizobacter sp. Root1221
Lineage: Bacteria; Pseudomonadati; Pseudomonadota; Betaproteobacteria; Burkholderiales; Sphaerotilaceae
Rfam family: tRNA
About the family: Transfer RNA (tRNA) molecules are approximately 80 nucleotides in length. Their secondary structure includes four short double-helical elements and three loops (D, anti-codon, and T loops).
Source: Rfam by way of RNAcentral